UUAAGCUGCUAAGAGCGAGACCGAGUAGUGUAGUGGGAGACCAUACGCGAAACUCUCGUGCUGCAAUCU
Yamadazyma jaroonii is the source of this 69-nucleotide non-coding RNA. The record is from the annotation of a GenBank genome assembly. NCBI's taxonomy places the organism in Eukaryota, Fungi, Ascomycota, Pichiomycetes, Serinales, Debaryomycetaceae.